UACAGAGACCUCAAGCGUUAUCCGGAAUCAUUGGGCGUAAAGCGUACCGAUAGGUGGUUUUGAUAGUUUUGGGUAAAAGCCAGAAGCUCAACUUCUGCGUUUGCUCAAAAUACUUCAAGACUAGAGGGGCAAAGAGGUGCUUGGAACGAAUGGUGUAGUAGUGAAAUGCGUUGAUAUCAUUCGGAACACCGAAAGCGAAGGCAGAGCACUGGGUGCCACCUGACACUGCUAGGACGAGAGCGUGGGUAGCGAAUGGG
RNAcentral lists this ribosomal RNA (257 nucleotides) under uncultured bacterium. RNAcentral's name for it is "partial 16S ribosomal RNA". It matches the Rfam family "Bacterial small subunit ribosomal RNA", at positions 524 to 776 of the family's 1533-position model. The record is from RNAcentral.